GGGGGCGUUCUUGGAUUCGACGGGGAUAGUUCGAGCAUGAGUAGCGGGUAGUGGGGACGCGUCCACUUCAUCAACGCUAAAGCCAAUAAUAACUGGCAAACAACAAAACAACUACGCUCUCGCAGCUUAAUAACCUGCAGACGUGCUCUCGCUCUGCAUCGCCCAUGUGCCGGGAUGAGGGCUCAACUUUAGUGGGAUACGCUGUCUAGUCUCCGCCUGCGGCUAGCUGAAGAAGACAAACAGGCUGACCCGAAGGGAAUCCGGUAACGGGGAGUCUCUAGGGUGACAUCAAAACUGUUACUACACCCGUAGAAGCUUAUGUGGCGUUAUCUUCGGACAGGGGUUCGACUCCCCUCGCCUCCAUAA
Molecule: transfer-messenger RNA, 366 nt
Filed under: Paenibacillaceae
Lineage: Bacteria; Bacillati; Bacillota; Bacilli; Caryophanales
Also listed under: 1 other name
Description: Paenibacillus cellulositrophicus_A Standard tmRNA
Rfam family: transfer-messenger RNA
About the family: Bacterial tmRNA, also known as 10Sa RNA or SsrA, is named for its dual tRNA and mRNA-like properties. Its role is to liberate the mRNA from a stalled ribosome.
Source: RNAcentral